UACGAAGGGGGCUAGCGUUGCUCGGAAUCACUGGGCGUAAAGGGUGCGUAGGCGGGUCUUUAAGUCAGGGGUGAAAUCCUGGAGCUCAACUCCAGAACUGCCUUUGAUACUGAAGAUCUUGACUUCGGGAGAGGUGAGUGGAACUGCGAGUGUAGAGGUGAAAUUCGUAGAUAUUCGCAAGAACACCAGUGGCGAAGGCGGCUCACUGGCCCGAUACUGACGCUGAGGCACGAAAGCGUGGGGAGCAAACAGG
RNAcentral lists this ribosomal RNA (253 nucleotides) under uncultured bacterium. RNAcentral describes it as "partial 16S ribosomal RNA". It matches the Rfam family "Bacterial small subunit ribosomal RNA", at positions 524 to 776 of the family's 1533-position model. The record is from RNAcentral.